This 440-nucleotide ribosomal RNA is filed under the name uncultured bacterium. RNAcentral describes it as "partial 16S ribosomal RNA". It matches the Rfam family "Bacterial small subunit ribosomal RNA", at positions 338 to 795 of the family's 1533-position model. The record is from RNAcentral.
CCUACGGGGGACAGCAGUGGGGGAUAUUGCACAAUGGGGGGAACCCUGAUGCAGCGACGCCGCGUGGGUGAAGAAGCGCCUCGGCGCGUAAAGCCCUGUCAGCAGGGAAGAAAAUGACGGUACCUGACGAAGACGCCCCGGCUAACUACGUGCCAGCAGCCGAGGUAAUACGUAGGGGGCAAGCGUUAUCCGGAUGUACUGGGUGUAAAGGGGGCGCAGGCGGCGAUGCAAGCCAGGAGGGAAAGCCCGGGGCCCAACCCCGGGACUGCUCUUGGAACUGCGUGGCUGGAGUGCAGGAGAGGCAGGCGGAAUUCCUGGUGUAGCGGUGAAAUGCGUAGAUAUCAGGAGGAACACCGAUGGCGAAGGCGGCCUGCUGGACUGCAACUGACGUUGAGGCCCGAAAGCGUGGGGAGCAAACAGGAUUAGAUACCCUUGUAGUC